AAUGAAGUGCCUGAAUAAAGGAUUAUCUUGAUAGGGUAAAUAAUGUAAAUUUUUACCUUCAUUA
RNAcentral lists this transfer RNA (64 nucleotides) under Osmylidae sp. EMHAU-20151229-16. RNAcentral's name for it is "tRNA-Ile". RNAcentral also lists the same sequence under 1 other name. Lineage: Eukaryota; Metazoa; Arthropoda; Insecta; Neuroptera; Osmylidae. The record is from RNAcentral.